This 37103-nucleotide long non-coding RNA is filed under the name Triticum aestivum (bread wheat). RNAcentral's name for it is "long non-coding RNA (TAES_LNC021703)". The record is from RNAcentral. Lineage: Eukaryota; Viridiplantae; Streptophyta; Magnoliopsida; Poales; Poaceae.
AGGAUUAUGCUUUCAUGCAAAUCAAGGUGAUAUGGAGCUAUUUGCUGAGGAACUUUGAGCUCGAGUUGAUCUCUCCUUUCCCUGAGCUAGAGAAUGACAAAAUAUUACCAGGACCUAGGGGCGAAGUGAUGGUUACUUACAGGAGAAGGUCAAUAGUUAAUUAGCACGCAUGCAUGUAAAGUAUGAAUUUGUAAGCUAACUGUGUGUCCGUGUGUCAUUUUUAUACGUGUGAAUUAAUAUAUAGUAAAUAUGUGCUAGAAAAGGGAGAACAAUUAGCAUUUGUGAAAUACCUCGCCAUUACAGUGGGUGUGUGAGUUAGAAAUGUGGUCAUGUGUGUAUGUGUACACGUUCAAGUUAUGCUUGUUCUGUAAAGAAAGUCUGUUCUUAUUGCCCUGCUAAUAAAAAGAAAUUUAUUACUCCAAUAUUUUUCAGAAUAUAAUACUCCAUAUGCUUCAAAAUAUGUGUAUUAGGUUUUGCAGGUAAUCUACAGAGGAACUAGCUGGAUUCCUAGGUGGUCGUGACUCAGCCGUGCGGAAGCCAAAGAGUAUAUGGCUUAUGGGUGCAACUGAUGGGAGACGGUAGCACGAGAUACCUACAACCAGUUUGGAUGGCGGUUCAAUAUGAUAGGUGCAUAUGGCUUUGAGUUCUUCCUUUACUUUAUCUCUUAUACUACAAACUUGUUGGAUCUUUUGGUUAAUAAGAUGGCUGCAUGCAUCGCUUUCAUGUAGAGGUCAAGGAUAAUCCUUCUUUUCUAAAAAAAUAGGUUUUGUUAAGACAAGAUUUUGACACACAGUUAAACUAAACUAUGUAACAUAUGCGAUAUAAAACCAUAACCCUGAAAAGUACCUUUUUUUGAGCAUCAGUACAGACACAAGCGCUCAUAUACACGCGCAUACACUCACCCCUAUAAACGCACACUGAGCCGGCAUACCAUCUUGAGAUUUACGAAGCCACCAUAGGCACCUCGUCGUCGACGGAAACGUCUCCUCCCACUGAAAGCGCAUCGCUGGAAAUCCUGAAAUAAAUCAAGGAAUAAUGCGAGCACCAGGAUUUGAACCCUGGUGGGUUGGGGAUACCAUUGUCCACCUAACCAUCUCAGCCACAGGUUAAAUCCAAUGACAUUGAUCUCAUGUUACAUAAAAAAUAUACGUAUUUUAUUAUAAUAGUCCUAACAAAACCUUAUAUGCUAGGUGUUUUGAAACGGAAGGCAUAAUGUUCAAAAUCUUAUAUUUAUUAAUUGGAGGCACCAUCAAAGGCUCCACGGUAAUUCUGGAGGUUAGAAAAUUUCAUCCAUAGGAUUAACUAAUGGUAGUAAAAUAGCCCGUCAGAUGUGAUCUACCUAUUCGGCCAAUUCCACCAGCCUGAAAGAAGGAAUCUAAUCGAGGACCCUAAUCGCUUUCCAUCCUCCUCCGUAAAAAAAAAUGGAAACAGAGGAAUACAUCUCCUCCUUGGAAAGCGAUUAGUUUCUCCUUCAUCUUGAGCUGGCCAAUCAAUUAGGAUCUCCAAUAGACGAGGUGAAGUGAUUACAAAGAUCAUGCCAAGGGAAGAUGGAGAGUACUGGCCGGCAGCAAUCUAGCAGCUCCAUUCUUUGAUCUACCUGCAUAGGCUGGCUGCAUCAUGCCUCCAGAUGCAGACAAAGGUACUGCAUAAAGCAUGUCUGAUAUUACUACGUGUGGCUGCUUUAGAUUUGGGUAGUUCGAAUGAUUGGGUAUACGAGUAGAAUUUCUUGAUACAUUCAUAAGCAAGGUGUGGUAACUACAUAUAUGUCACUAUUUUUGCCAUAAUUAGGAGAAAUAAAUAUUAAAAACGAUUAUAUGCUGAAAUCUCCAUACCCAUAUACUAAAGGGAGGUAGUAGAAAUAAUCCCUACGUCUCUCAUCCCUCCGAAAGAUGCGAAACACACACACCCACACACCCACACACACACAGACGCAGACAAUUAUCUAUGUGCUACAGCAAUAUAUGCAUAUGUGUUGGCAGUAUUGCCAAUAAAAAAUAUAUAUAAUCGUGAAUUUAUCUCAACCAAUUUUUUGACAUCUAUUUGAUGUAGUUUACUGGAAAAAACUAACAAAAAAUAGAACAAAAAAACUUCGAAUGUUUUAUGUAAAUGGUACUGAAUGAUUCAGAACUUCCUAAAUAUGUUCCCGAUGACAUAUGCUCAAUGGCAGACACACAAGACCAAACUCUACAGCGCCUAGCGAGCGAUCCCUGGGAGAACAAAAACUACAAGGUGCAUAUAGUACUUUAACGACAAUAGAAUCUGCUGAUCGGUCCUGAAAGAAGACGGCAUGGCCCUUGGUUAGCCAAGGCGUUGAUGAGCAGACCGUUGCCCGACGAGGUCAAGUAGUAUAAGGACACCCAUAACAAGAGUUGAUGGCGAGUACCGUCCUGUGCAGCUCCAUGAGUCGCUUUGGUCAUGUACACGUAGCAAUCUGACUGCAUGCAUGGGCUCAAGAUGUGUUGACACCAGAUUUUGGCACGGUCAAUAACUUAUUUAAGAUGGCCUCAAAUGGAGAAGUGAUCUUCAUGAAAGAGUUCCGUAUUGUCGAUAUGAACAUCUUUGAAGUUUGGGUCAUCGCAGUCCGAUUUCAUCUCGAAGGCCGAAACUAUACUCAAAGUACUAAGAUCAUAUAUUCAGAGUACAGUUUGGCUGAUUAAGCCCCCAAGACGACCUCAAAUGGAAACAUUAUAUACACGGAUUGUCUUCGUCUCGUCGAAACGAUCGAUUUUGAUAUAAAAAUCGUUCCAAUGCGAGUUCGUAUGCAAAAGUUAGAGCCAUCGGAACACAGCCCUGUCACGAGGCAAAAACUGGCGCGCCCCACCAGACACCCUGUCUGAUGGGUAGCGCGAGGGAUAGCCUGUUUUGCGCGACCAUUUGACUCUCGAGAUGAUCUCUGAUCAAAAAACGUUCAACAUAAAAGUUGUUCGUCUCGUUGAAACGGUCAAGAUUGCUUUUGGGCUCGUUUCCAUCCGAGAUCGUUUACCACCACAAAAAGACCUGCAAGGUGUAGCCAGUUUAAACCGAACAGUUUUGGAAAGUUCGGACAAAAUCAAUCCGAAUUUGACUAGGGUUUUGGACGUGGAUCCAAGCCUUUUCCUGGCACGGGAAGUCCAGCCGCCUCUUAUAUACCUAAGGGGUGACGGCCGAUUGAAUAACCCACAAUCGAUCAAUCAAUCUACCACUUUUUAUCUUUUAUCUUUUCUCCUUAACCCUAGUUGUUCUUCUUCCUCGUUCUUCGUUUGUUCUUCUUCAUUGCAGGGAGGCGAACCUCGAGGCCCUAGGGGCGAUCAGGUCAUUCUAGGGCAGCCCAUAGCCGCCACGCGCCCAGACGGGGUCCCUCCCGGGCGUGUGGGGUUUCGGGUCCCAAAAGCGCCGGCUUGCUGUCUUGCGUAUCGCGCUGGAAGUCGGCCUCCCGCGGUGUGAGUUGCGGAGCAUCUCCCUCGGCGCCGCGGGUACACAUCGACGUGUUCGUGUGACGCGUUCCAGCGUCAACACACUUUUUGGCGACUCCGCUGGGGAUGAAGCUUUGAACGGUCUCCAGCCCGUUCUUGCUACGAAGAGAUCGUCAUCUAGGGUUUGCAAUCUACAAAGGUAACAUGAAUACCCAAUUCACUUAUGUAGAUGCAAAAAAUACAUAUGUUGUUGCUAGAUCGUCUAAUGAACAUAUUGUAUCGACUAGCCCUAGUUUUAUCAAUCAUGCAUCUAAUUAUGUGCAACAGCCGAUUCAGAAUAAUCUUCAUGCUUCAACUUCAUAUAAUUUUAGCAACAUGCAACAUAUGUAUCCCAACUCCCAUGCAUCGGCAACCCCACAAAUCUAUAUGCCGAUGAACAACAUGAUGAGUUCGGUUAAUCAUGUUGAGACACCCCAUGUAGGAACUUCCAAUAGUAUGCAACAAAGUGUUUCAACUUUUUAUUCAACGGCAAAUAACUUGCAGUAUGUUUAUCCAAACGUGCCGGUGGAUAGGGGAAUUGGCCAUGCCACUACUAGUUAUUCGGCCAAUUACCCUCAAACAUCGUAUGCUACACCUCAUGCUACGAAUUUUUCGGCACCAUACGCAAUUGUAGAUAUUCGUGAUUCGGCUCCGCACCUUCAGGACGACACUAGUGUCUUAGCAUCUCUGCAAAACUCGAUCAAGGUUGCACAAAGAAUCAUCAAAAGAGGAUCCAUAGACGGAGAAGUCAUCCAUGAAUACCUCACAAAUCUUUUCACAAAAAUCAGAAAAUAUAGCCAUCAUGUAUCUUUGAAAGGUAGCAGGUGCAUUACAUAAACCAAAAGGCAUACGUCUAUAAGCAAAAGCACCAAAAGGGCAAGUAAAAGUAGUUUUAGAUUGAUCCCUCGCAGAUACAGGUAUCUGAGAGAAGCCAGAAUAACCAUCUAGAAAGCAAAAAUGUGUGUGUUUGGAUAGGCUUUCUAGCAUUUGAUCAAUAAAUGGUAAAGGGUAAUGGUCUUUCUUAGUAGCUUUAUUUAACUUACGAAAAUCAAUUACCAUCCUAUAACCUUAAUAAUUCUUUGCGGGAUCAAUUCAUCUUUAUCAUUAGGGACAACGGUAAUACAUCCCUUUUUAGGGACACAAUGGACAGGGCUUACCCAUUCACUAUCAGCAACGGGAUGAAUAAUACCUGCCUCAAGGAGCUUUAGUAUCUCCUUUCUUACCACUUCCUUCAUUUUGGGAUUUAAUCGUCUUUGAGGAUCUCUAACUGGUUUGGCAUCUUUCUCCACUGAAAUUUUAUGUUGACAUAAUGUGGGACUAAUGCCCUUAAGAUCAUCCAGAGUAUAUCAAAUAGCAGCUCGGUGCUUCUUCAGAGUUUUCAAUAAUCUUUCUUCUUCUUUCUCUGAAAGUUUAGCACUAAUAAUAACAGGAUAUAUUUCUUUUUCAUCAAGAUAAGCAUACUUAAGAUUAUCAGGUAAGGGUUUGAGUUCAAACACAGGAUCACCCUUGGGUGGAGGGGGAUCCCCAAGAAUUUCAACGGGAAGAUUAUGUUUCAACAUAGGUUCUUGUUUAAGGAACACUUCAUCUAUUUCUUCCCUUUCCUUCAUAAACAUAUCGUUUUCAUGGUCUAGCAAAUAUUGUUCUAACGGAUCAGUUGGUGGAACAGCAAUGGAAGCAAGACCAAUAAUUUCAUCCUUACUAGGUGGUUCCCUUUCACGAGGUUGUCUACUAAACUUAGCAAAAUUAAACUCAUGAGACAUACCAUCUAUGCCAACAGUGACAAUAUUCUUUUCACAAUUAAUCUUAGCACUAGCAAUAUUCAAGAAGGGUCUACCAAAAAUAAUGGGACAAAAAUCAUCUUGUGGGGAACCAAGAACAAGAAAAUCAGCAGGGUAUUUAAUCUUCCCACACAAGACUUCAACAUCUCUAACAAUCCCAAUAGGUUUAAUGGUGUCCCUAUUAGCAAGCUUAAUAGUAACAUCAAUGUCUUCUAAUUUAACAGGUGCAAUAUCGUGCAUAAUUUCUUUAUAAAGAUCAUAAGGUAUCGCAUUAGCACUAGCACCCAUAUCACAUAAACCGUUAUAACGAUGAUAUCCUAUUUUAACAGAAAUAACAUGCGUGCCUACAACAGGUCUACGUAUCUUAGUAUCAGGUCUAGCAAUAUUAGCAGUUUCACCACAAAAAGAGAUAACAUGCCCAUCUAAGUCCUCAUCCAAAAGAUCUUUAAUCAUAGCAAUACCAGGUUCAACAUUAAUUUGCUCAGGAGGUGUAUAGGUCCUAGUAUUACUCUUCCGGACAACAGUCGAAGCUUUGACAUGAUCUUUUAUCCUAACAAGAAAAGGACAUUUUUGAACAUAAGCAGUAGGAAUAAUGGGAUCACUAUAUGUAAUAGUCUUCUCUUUGACUGUAAUAGGUGUAACUACUUUAACUUCAACAGGAGGAUUAUAUUUAAACCACUUCUCUUUAGGGAGAUCAACGUGGGUAGAAAAAGUUUCACAAAAAGUAGCUACUAUCUCAGAGUCAAGUCCAUACUUAGAGCUAAAUCCACGGAAAGCAUAGGUAUCCAUAAAAGAUUUAACACAAUCGAACUUAGGUGUCAUACCUGACUCCUUACCAUCAUCGUAACCCCAAUCUUCAGAGUUGCGUUUAAUUCUUUCCAAUAAGUCCCAUUUGAAAUCAAUAGUCCUCAGCAUAUAGGAACCAGCACAGGAAGUAUCGAGCAGGUUGCGAGUAUCAAGAGAAAGCCAAGCAUAAAAAUUCUGAAUAAUCAUUUCCUGAGAGAGCUCAUGAUUGGGGCAUGAAUAUAACAUUGACUUAAGCCUCCCCCAAGCUUGAGCGAUGCUUUCUCCUUCGCGAGGCCAGAAAUUAUAUAUGUAAUUACGAUCACGAUGAACAAGAUGCAUAGGAUAGAACUUCUGGCGAAAUUCCAACUUCAAUCGCUUAUAGUUCCAAUAUCUCAUAUCAUCACAUAGCCUAUACCAUGUCAUUGCAUCUCCCUUCAAAGAUAAAGGGAAGACCUUCCUUUUGACAACAUCAUUGGGAAUACCUGCAAGCUUAAAUAAUCCACAAACUUCAUCCACGAAGAUAAGGUGUAAGUCAGGAUGCAAUGUUCCGUCUCCUGCAAAAGGAUUAGCUUGCAGUUUCUAUAUCAUACCCGAAGGAAUCUCAAAGUGAAUAUUUUCAUAAGGUUCAGUAGGUUGAGGAGCAUCCAUUGGCUCUUCUGGUUGGGGUGAAGAUACCCCAAACAAGCCCCUCAAAGGAUUAGUUCCAUAGUGACAAGUAACAGAAAAUUUUAGCACACUAUAUAAAUGUUUCCUUACCAAGUCGACUCACCAAGAGCGCUACGCUCCCCGGCAACGGCGCCAGAAAAGAAUCUUGAUGACCCACAAGUAUAAGGGAUCUAUCGUAGUCCUUCCGAUAAGUAAGAGUGUCAAACCCAACGAGGAGCAGAAGGAAAUGAUAAGCGGUUUUCAGUAAGGUUUUCUCUGCAAGCACUGAAAUAGUAGGUGAUAGAUAGUUUUGUGAUAAGAUAAAUAGUAACAAGCAAAAAGUAAAUAAAGUAAAUAAAGUGCAGCAAGGUGGCCCAAUCCUUUUUGUAGCAAAGGAUAAGCCUGGAAAAACUCUAAUAAUGAAGAAGGAGCUCCCGAGGACACAUUGGGAAUUAUCGUCAAGCUAGUUUUCAUCACAUUCAUAAGAUUCGCGUUCGGUACUUUGAUAAUUUGAUAUGUGGAUGGACCGGCACUUGGGUACUGCCCUAACAUGGACAAGCAUCCCACUUAUGAUUAACCCCUAUUGCAAGCAUCUGCAACUACAAAAAGGAGUAUUAAGGUAAACCUAACCACAACAUUAAACAUAUGGGUCCAUAUCAACCCAUAACGAAGGAACGCAUAAACAAGGGUUUAUGCUUCUGUCACUCUAGCAACCCAUCAUCCACUUAUUACUUCCCUAUGCCUUCCUCUAGGCCCAAAUAAUGCUUAAGUGUCAUGUAGUCGACGUUCACAUAACACCAAUAGAGGAGAGACAACAUACAUCUCAUCAAAAUAUCGAACGAAUACCAAACUCACAUGACUACUAAUAGCCAGACUUCACCCAUGUCCUCAGGAACAAACGUAACUACUCACAAAGCAUAUUCAUGUUCAUAAUAAUAGGGGUAAUAAUAUGCAUAAAGGAUCUCAACAUAUGAUCUUCCACCAAGUAAACCAAAUAGCAUCAACUACAAGGAGUAAUCAACACUACUAGCAACCCACAGGUACCAAUUUGUGGUUUUGAUACAAGAUUGGAUACAAGAGAUGAACUAGGGUUUUGAGAGGAGAUGGUGCUGGUGAAGAUGUUGAUGGAGAUUGACCCCCUCCUGAUGAGAGGAUCGUUGGUGAUGACGUUGGUGAUGAUUUCCCCCUUCCAGAGGGAAGUGUCCCCGGCAGAAUAGCUCCGCCAGAGCCCUAGAUUGAUUCCGCCAAGGUUCCGCCUCGUGGCAGCGGAGUUUCGUCCCGUAAGCUUGCCCACGAUUUUUUCCAGGACAAAACCCUUCAUAUAGCAGAAGAUGGAAGCUGGAAUCCCACCAGGGGGCCAGGAGAUAGGGGGGCACGCCCUACAGGGGGGCGCCCCAUGUCUCCUGGACAGGGUGUGGGCCCCUGGCCUAUUUCUUUUGCCCAAAAAUUCUUAUUAAGUCUACAAAGUUGUUUCGUGGAGUCUCAGGUCUUUUGGAGUUGUGCAGAAUAGGUUUCCAACAUUUACUCCUUUUCCAGCCAGAAUUCCAGCUGCAGGCAUUCCCCCUCUUCAUGCUAAACCUUGUAAAAUAAGAUAUAAUGCGUAAUAACAGUCCAUAAUGCAAUAAAUAUUGAUAUAAAAGCAUGAUGCAAAAUGGACGUAUCAUCUAUCAAAUGUCACAACGUAACUGGGUGAUUAUAAAGAUGCUUUACAGGUAUCUCCAAAGGUGUUUGUUGGGUUGGCAUAGAUCGAGAUUGGGGUUUGUCACUCCGAGUAUUGGAGAGGUAUCUCUGGGCCCUCUCGGUAAUGCACAUCAUAAUAAGCCUUGCAAGCAAUGUGACUAAUGAGUUAGUUGUGGGAUGAUGCAUUACGGAACGAGUAAAGAUUCUUGCUAGUAACAAGAUUGAACUAGGUAUGAAGAUACCGACAAUCAAAUCUCGGGCAAGUAAUAUACCGAUGACAAAGGGAAUAACGUAUGUUGUCAUUACGGUACGACCAAUAAAGAUCUUCGUAGAAUUUGUGGGAACCAAUAUGAGCAUCCAGGUUCCGCUGUUGGUUAUUGACCAAAGAGGUGUCUCGGUCAUGUCCACAUAGUUCUCGAACCCAUAGGGUCCGCACGCUUAACGUUCAAUGACGAUUUUGUAUUAUAUGAGUUAUGUGAUUUGGUGACUGAAUGUUGUUAGGAGUCCUGGAUGAUAUCACAAACAUGACGAGGAGUCUCGAAAUGGUCGAGAGGUAAAGUAUCAUAUAUAGGACGAUGAUAUUCGAACACCGGAAGUGUUUCGGGGCAUACCCGGUACAUAUCGGAGUACCGAGGGGGUUACCGGAACCCCCUCCCCCUCUUCGGGGGGGGGGGGCAAUAAUGGGCCUUAUGGCCCAUAGGAGGUAAGAACACCAGCCCACAAGGGGUGGUGCGCCCCCCCUAAGGAAGGAGGCCGAAUAGGAGAAGGAGGUGGGGGUUCGCCCUCCCCUCCUUCCUCCCCCCUCUCUUCCUUUUUUCCCCUUCCGGUAAAAGGAAGGAGGGGAGGCCGAAUUGGACUAGGGGCCCAACUAGGAUUCCUCCUACUUGGGCACCCCCUUGGCUGCCUCUCCUCCCCUCCAACCUAUAUAUACGUGGGGGGCACCGCUAGAACACACAACAUUGAUUCCUAGCCGUGUGCGGCGCCCCCCUCCACAGUAUACGCCUCCGGUUAUAUUCACGUAGUGCUCAGGCGAAGCCAUGCGCGGAUCACUUCACCAUAAUCAUCACCAUGUCGUCGUGCUGAUGUAGCUCUCCCUCAACACUUUGUUGUAUCAAGAGUUCGAGGGACGUUAUCGAGCUGAACGUGUGCAGAACUCGGAGGCGCCUUAAUUCGAUGCUUGAUCGGUCGGAACGAGAAGAAGUUCGACUACAUCAACCGCGGAAUCAAACGCUUCGCUUUCGGUCUACGAGGGUACGUGGACACACUCUCCCGCUGGACUCAUAUGCAGUCAGUUGGUCAUACAGUUCUGCAAAUUGUUCCACAUACUCCACCACCGAUCCAGUUUUGUUAAUUCUGAACAUCUUCCUCAAGAGAUUCUGGUGCUGGUUCCGCCCAAAUCUCGUCUGCAAUAGGUUGCAAAACUCUGUCCAAUGCAGUUCCACAGUUCGCCUCUGCAUAGACUCCAACCAUCGAGCAGCUGCACCUUCAAACUGGGCAGUGGCAUAAGAUAUCCACCUGCUGUGGUGAGUGCCCCAUAACUUGAAGUAAUCCUUGCAUCUAGCUUGCCAUAAUCGUGGAUUAGACCCAUCAAACCGCGGCAAUUCCACUCGUGGACCAGAGUUGAACUGCUCACCUUGAUCCAGAGCAACGAGUUCGCGGGGUGACUGAAACUCUCGGGGAGACGGCAGAUCACGCGCUCCGCGAGCCGGGGGUGGAACGUAGAUGUUCUGGGUGCGCGCUUCUCUGCCCGCAGACGAGCUUCCCGCCUGGCCUCGUAGUCGACCUUGUCAACCCACUCCAGAUCGGAGCGGAUCUGCUCGAUGUCGAGGUGGAGCUCGGAACGGACGCCGUCAACGCGGGCCGUGAUAAGGCCGUCCAAGGUCUUGGUCGAUUCCUGGAGCAGCUUGGUCAUGGAUUUGAGGAGGUCAUCGCUGUGUACCUUGAGGCGCUGCUCGAGAUCGUCGGUGACGGCCGCCUUGACGAAUUCAUGGAUGUUGCGGCCUUCCGCCAACAGCUUUUCCAUGGCCUCUCGCCGGUGAAAUUCGCGGAAACGGGUGUGGUGUGGGUGGCGGGGCAACUCCAGGAUGGAACGGCUCUGAUGCCAGAUGUGAGCAACCCGCUUAUAGGAUCCGAAUUGGGGAUGGAUUCGCCAUGGAUGGCAGAUACAAGCUCUCACACACACGCACGGUCUGGCCGAAGCCACUAGUUCCGUCCCAGAUCCACACGCCACCCGCACCAACGGUAAUAUACUAGCGUACACCCUUAUCGGGCCCAGUUUGGGCUUGCAAGCCACUGGUGAAGUUGCCGGUCGCGAGUGGGCCGAGCAGUCGGCCCACGAGUUGAAUCCUUGGCCUCGCGCGCUCCCGCUUGCUCUGUUCCGUGCCAAGGUCGCUGACAACAAUCGUACCCCACAACACUAACAAAUGACCCAUUCAUCACGAAUAGAUGGGGCUGGGGGUCUGGCUGACUUGCGGGUCCCGCCGUCCGGCACAACCGUCUCUUGCUCUCGUUGUGUUUUUUCUCGAGCUGGUUCAGUUUCGUCAGUUCCUUCAUCCUUUGCUGCUGCACCUCAUUCAUUUCUGCCUCUGCAGUCUGCACGCUUCGCUAAUGCCUUCUCCCAGCGACUCUGCAUACGGGGUGUAACACAGACAGUUACCUGUCCAGCCAUGGGAGGUUUCCGACGACCAGCCACACAGCACCCCCCCCCCCCUCCGUUGUCGCCGGAGGCUGCUCACGUUUGGAGGGCGUGGUCGGUAUAGUACCGACGCACAUAUCUUGGUGGGCUCAGCAUGCUUUUUUUUCAAGUUCUGUAACAUGCUUUGGACAGAAUUUAGCAACGGCUCGCAUACGACGUCUUUCCUUCAUCCUUCUUCCGCCUGAGUUUCUUUCACUGCUUCUUAUUCAAGUCAAAACAGUUUCUUUCAGAAAAACAAAGCUAAUACUAACAAUCUUUUUUCUAGCAUCACCAUCACUCUUUUCUUGUUGUUCUGCUAUCUGAAGAAACAUAUUCACUGACCCCAGGUUCAGUUCUGGUAAGUACUGGUAUACACAACUUCAGUUCUGCUAACUUAAGGACCAGGUCACAUGCCAUACUACUCUUUCUCUAAUUAAACACAAUGAUGCCAAAUUAACUUGACCAGCACUAGGAGGUCUUGCCUUAACUGACCGUCACUAGGCACAUUUUCUAUUCCAACCAAAAAGUUAGCCAAAUUCUUUCCGGUGCUGCUCCCUGGAUAAGACAUAGAAUCUAAAACAUUGCUAGAAAAUAUAUUUAGGCUGGAGUGUUUUGUAGAAUCACAAAAAAAAUUUGUGAGAAAAACAUAUGCUUCUUUUUUUGCAGAGGGUGUGAAAAGUGUAUAUUAAAUUUUGUCCUAUACCAAAAAAAAUGAUGUACAUACUAUUUUGGUUUAUGUAUUAACCUCUCACUAUAUUUUUGUAACAGCAAACAAAUGAACAUUUUCUAAUAAAAGCAUCACAAUCACUGUUUCCUUGUUGUUUGGUUGCUAUAUUAACCUCUCACUGUUAUUUGCCUCAACUGAUCGUCACCAGUCAAAAGAUCUCCUCAAACAAAAAAAGGUAGUCAAAGCUUGAUUAAGUGGUGCAUUUGUUUCCACUUAAUUUGUUGCCGUGUGUCUUAGGGUCCUUCCUGCCAAAUUAUUAUUCUCUUUUGCUCCCUAGAGAAAACCCACCAGCAAGUUAUAAAAAGCUUCCUAAAAGCUUUAGAUCUACAUUCUGGAAUAUUGUGAAGAAUAUCAAUUUAUUUUGUGUCUUAUACCCCAAAAAAUAUGGUGCUCUUUCAUUAACCUCUCACCAUUAUCUGUGCAGGCAAAUACACAGCUUUUUAUUAAAAGUUUUUAGUGUGCACACAACGUGCAUUUGAAAUAGUAUAAAUUAUGUUUAGAAAUUCCAAAAUGUCCGGUCGCAUCAAGUUGAGAAUUCCCGUUUUUGUACUUUCCACAGCAAUGCGGAACUUGACCGGCAGAGUAAAAGCGUCCGUCAAAACUUGUUGAAGAGAUGGAAACUUCUCCACUAUCAUAUGUACCACGAAGGAUACUACACCCUAUAUAUAUGACAUAUUUACAUAUCUUAAUGUCCAGAUGUCACAAAGAUAUAUCAAAACAAAUUACAACCCACCAUGCUUCAUUUUUUCAUUGUCUUCGUGCUUGCCAUAUCUGUUCCAAUUCGGUGGCGUGCGCUUGUGUAGCAAAUGGCAGCAGCAUCCUGACAGAAGGCCAAGAGCUCAGCGGCGGCAACAGGCUCAUCUCAAAGAAUGGCAAGUUCACGUUGGGCUUCUUCACGUCAGGCCACUGGUAGAAAAAGAGGCUUCCGUCCAGCCCCAUUAGUCGCGAAACUGUAGGAACCGCGACUAAUGAAGUCUUUAGUCGCGGUUCGGCAGACGAACCGCGACCAAAGGCCUGGGCCCAGGGCGCUCGGUGGCCAGCUGGUNNNNNNNNNNNNNNNNNNNNNNNNNNNNNNNNNNNNNNNNNNNNNNNNNNNNNNNNNNNNNNNNNNNNNNNNNNNNNNNNNNNNNNNNNNNNNNNNNNNNNNNNNNNNNNNNNNNNNNNNNNNNNNNNNNNNNNNNNNNNACAAGCAGAAGGGUUUUGUUAUCUGUCCAUGUGUUGACUGUAAGAAUCAGAAGGGUUACUCUUCCUCAAGAGAAGUUCACCUGCACCUGCUUCGGCACGGUUUCAUGCCAAGCUAUAAUUGUUGGACCAAGCAUGGAGAAAGAGGGGUUAUAAUGGAAGAAGAUGAAGAAGGGGAUGAUUUCAUCGAUGAAAGCUAUCUUGCUCAUUUCGGUGAUACUUUCAUGGAGGAUGCUGAAGGUGAAGGGGAAGGUGAAGGGGAAGGUGAAGGUGAAGAAGAGGCACGUGAUGAGACCGUUGAUGAUCUUGGUCGGACCAUUGCUGAUGCACGGAGACGCUGCGAAACUGAAAAGGAGAGGGAGAAUUUGGAUCGCAUGUUAGAGGAUCACAGAAAGUCGUUGUACCCCGGAUGCGAUGAUGGUCUGAAAAAGCUGGGCUGCACACUGGAUUUGCUGAAAUGGAAGGCAAAGGCAGGUGUAGCUGACUCGGCAUUUGAAAACUUGUUGAAAAUGUUGAAGAAUAUGUUUCCAAAGAAUAACGAGUUGCCCGCCAGUACGUAUGAAGCAAAGAAGGUUGUCUGCCCUCUAGGUUUAGAGGUUCUGAAGAUACAUGCAUGCAUCAACGACUGCAUCCUCUACCGCGGUGAAUACGAGAAUUUGAAUGAAUGCCCGGUAUGCACUGCAUUGCGUUAUAAGAUCAGAGGCGAUGACCCUGGUGACGAUGUUGAGGGCGAGAAACCCAGGAAGAGGGUUCCCGCCAAGGUGAUGUGGUAUGCUCCUAUAAUACCACGGUUGAAACGUCUGUUCAGGAACAAAGAGCAUGCCAAGUUGUUGCGAUGGCACAAAGAGGACCGUAAGUCGGACGGGGAGUUGAGACACACCGCAGAUGGAACGCAAUGGAGAAAGAUCGACAGAGAGUUCAAAGAUUUUGCAGCUGACGCAAGGAACAUAAGAUUUGGUCUAAGUACAGAUGGCAUGAAUCCUUUUGGCGAGCAGAGCUCCAGCCAUAGCACCUGGCCCGUGACUCUAUGCAUCUACAACCUUCCUCCUUGGUUGUGCAUGAAGCGGAAGUUCAUUAUGAUGCCAGUGCUCAUCCAAGGUCCGAAGCAACCCGGCAACGACAUCGAUCUGUACCUAAGGCCAUUAGUUGAAGAACUUUUACAGCUCUGGGGCAGACCUGGUGUCCGUGUAUGGGAUGAGCACAAAAAAGAGGAAUUUAACCUACGAGCGUUGCUUUUCGUAACCAUCAACGAUUGGCCUGCUCUUAGCAACCUUUCGGGACUGUCAAAUAAGGGAUACAAUGCAUGCACGCACUGCUUACAUGAGACUGAAAGUGUACAUUUGCCAAAUUGUAAGAAGAACGUGUACCUUGGGCAUCGUCGAUUUCUUCCGAAAAUUUAUCCAGUAAGAAAGAAAGGCAAGCAUUACAACGGCAAGGCAGAUCACCGGCCGAAGCCUGCGGAACACACUGGUGCUGAGGUAUUUGAUAUGGUCAAGGAUUUGAAAGUCAUCUUUGGAAAGGGUCCUGGCGGACAAUCAGUUCCGAAGGGAGCUGACGGGCACGCAGCCAUGUGGAAGAAGAAAUCUAUAUUCUGGGAGCUAGAAUAUUGGAAAGUCCUAGAAGUCCGCUCUGCAAUCGACGUGAUGCACGUUACAAAGAAUAUUUGCGUGAACCUCCUAAGCUUCUUGGGCGUGUAUGGGAAGACAAAUGAUACAAAGGAAGCACGGCAGGACCAGCAACGUUUGAAAGACCCUGAUGACCGGCAUCCGGAAUGGUUUCAAGGUCGUGCCAGCUACGCUCUGACCAAAGAAGAGAAGGUCAUCUUUUUUGAAUGCCUGAGCAGUAUGAAGGUCCCGUCUGGAUUCUCGUCCAAUAUAAAGGGAAUAAUAAACAUGGCAGAGAAAAAGUUCUAAAACCUGAAGUCUCACGACUGCCACGUGAUUAUGACGCAAUUGCUUCCGAUUGCUUUGAGGGGGCUCCUGCCGGAAAAUGUUCGAGUAGCCAUUGUGAAGCUAUGUGCAUUCCUCAAUGCAAUCUCUUAGAAGGUAAUCAAUCCAGAAGAUCUACCACGGUUACAGAACGAUGUGAUCCAAUGUCUUGUCAGUUUCGAGUUGGUGUUCCCGCCAUCCUUCUUCAAUAUUAUAACGCACCUCUUGGUUCACCUAGUCGAAGAGAUUUUCAUUCUCGGUCCUGUAUUUCUACACAAUAUGUUCCCCUUCGAGAGGUUCAUGGGAGUAUUAAAGAAAUAUGUUCGUAACCGUGCUAGGCCAGAAGGAAGCAUCGCCAAGGGCUAUGGAAAUGAGGAGGUAAUUGAGUUUUGUGUUGACUUUGUUCCUGACCUUAAGCCGAUUGGUCUUCCUCGAUCGCGGCACGAGGGGAGACUAAGUGGAAAAGGCACGAUCGAAAGGAAAUCAACGAUAUGUAUGGACGGCCAUUCUCUGACUGAAGCACACCACACUGUACUGACCAAUUCCAGCUUGGUGGCUCCGUACUUUGAGAAACACAAGAAUAUUUUACGCUUGGACAACCCGGGGAAGCCUGAAUCCUGGAUUAGGAAGGCCCACAUGGAGACUUUCGGCAGUUGGUUGAGAAAACAUUUAAUGAAUGAUAAUGAUGUUGUAGAUCAGCUGUACAUGUUGGCCAAGACACCAUCUUCAACUAUAACGACUUUCCAAGGGUACGAGAUAAAUGGGAAUACAUUUUACACGAUCAUCCAAGAUAAAAAGAGCACCAACCAAAACAGUGGUGUCCGCUUUGGUGCAGCAACCGAGAAUGGGCAAAAGGUCACAUAUUAUGGUUACAUAGAGGAGAUAUGGGAACUUGACUAUGGACCCUCCUUUAAGGUCCCUUUGUUCCGGUGCAAAUGGUUCAAGCUAACAGGAGGUGGGGUAAAGGUGGACCAGCAAUACGGAAUGACAAUGGUGGAUUUCAACAAUCUUGGUUACCUUGACGAACCAUUCGUCCUAGCGAAAGAUGUCGCUCAGGUUUUCUAUGUGAAGGACAUGAGUAGCAAACUGAGGAAACGGAAAGAUAAGAAAACGAUCAGUACAUCAUGCGAUGAUCCAAAGCGCCACAUUGUUCUUUCAGGGAAAAGAAACAUCGUGGGAGUGGAGGACAAGACAGACAUGUCAGAAGAUUAUAAUAUGUUUGCUGAAAUUCCGCCCUUCAAAGUGAACACCGACCCAAGCAUUAAGUUAAAUGAUGAGGAUGCUCCAUGGAUACGGCACAAUCGUAAGCAAGCAGGGACACAAGGNNNNNNNNNNNNNNNNNNNNNNNNNNNNNNNNNNNNNNNNNNNNNNNNNNNNNNNNNNNNNNNNNNNNNNNNNNNNNNNNNNNNNNNNNNNNNNNNNNNNNNNNNNNNNNNNNNNNNNNNNNNNNNNNNNNNNNNNNNNNNNNNNNNNNNNNNNNNNNNNNNNNNNNNNNNNNNNNNNNNNNNNNNNNNNNNNNNNNNNNNNNNNNNNNNNNNNNNNNNNNNNNNNNNNNNNNNNNNNNNNNNNNNNNNNNNNNNNNNNNNNNNNNNNNNNNNNNNNNNNNNNNNNNNNNNNNNNNNNNNNNNNNNNNNNNNNNNNNNNNNNNNNNNNNNNNNNNNNNNNNNNNNNNNNNNNNNNNNNNNNNNNNNNNNNNNNNNNNNNNNNNNNNNNNNNNNNNNNNNNNNNNNNNNNNNNNNNNNNNNNNNNNNNNNNNNNNNNNNNNNNNNNNNNNNNNNNNNNNNNNNNNNNNNNNNNNNNNNNNNNNNNNNNNNNNNNNNNNNNNNNNNNNNNNNNNNNNNNNNNNNNNNNNNNNNNNNNNNNNNNNNNNNNNNNNNNNNNNNNNNNNNNNNNNNNNNNNNNNNNNNNNNNNNNNNNNNNNNNNNNNNNNNNNNNNNNNNNNNNNNNNNNNNNNNNNNNNNNNNNNNNNNNNNNNNNNNNNNNNNNNNNNNNNNNNNNNNNNNNNNNNNNNNNNNNNNNNNNNNNNNNNNNNNNNNNNNNNNNNNNNNNNNNNNNNNNNNNNNNNNNNNNNNNNNNNNNNNNNNNNNNNNNNNNNNNNNNNNNNNNNNNNNNNNNNNNNNNNNNNNNNNNNNNNNNNNNNNNNNNNNNNNNNNNNNNNNNNNNNNNNNNNNNNNNNNNNNNNNNNNNNNNNNNNNNNNNNNNNNNNNNNNNNNNNNNNNNNNNNNNNNNNNNNNNNNNNNNNNNNNNNNNNNNNNNNNNNNNNNNNNNNNNNNNNNNNNNNNNNNNNNNNNNNNNNNCUCAACGCCGCCGGCCGGCCUCGCUGCCGCGCGCGCACGCGCGCGCCUCUCUACAGAGAGCGAGAUCGUGGAGAGAGAGAUAAUUUUUUUCUUUUUUUUGUUCUUUUUAAUUUUAACUAGUUAAUUAGUUUAACAAAAACGGUAAAAUAACUUAAAACUUGAUAAUUAACAAAAAAAACGUAAAAUUUGAUAAUUAACAAAAAAACGUAUAUACGGAGAGGGGGCGGCGAGGGGGGCGGCGAUGCGCGCGGUGUUUUUUUUAGGGAUCGAGAGGGGGCGGCGAGGGUUAUACAUGUGUGUUGUCGUCGCCUCCCUCUCCGUGACGCCGUCGUCUGCCGCCCCGUCUCGCGCUCUACCGCGACACCCUCUCCCACCCCUUCCUCGCCCCCUCCUUUUGCCACCGCCCUUUCGCCACCGCCACCGCCACCGCCCCCCUUCUUCACUUAAUUAAUUUGUUUUUACUACAUGUUUUCAGGACUGACAUAAUGGCGGACGAUAGAGCUGACCCGAUUAUGGACAACUAUGAUCCGGACGGUGAAGCACAUAUGUUCGGCAUCAUAAACGGCGAUAUUCUAUAUGUGCCGACCGGACAAGAAGAAGAUGAUAUCUCUUCUUAUCUGAACCUUGACGGUGAAGAUGAAGGGCGCCGUCAGCAAGAUGAUGCCGAACAAACGUCGAUAAAUGACGAUCUUCAAAUGGAAGUAGCAACCACCUCCGGCGCCGAGGUAUAUAUAUACAUUGAGCCUCUGGUGAUACAGACUAACUGAUUUGAAUAAAUAUGUGUGUACUAACGUGCGCGACUCUCUUUCUUAUUUUAGCCCUCGGCCGGAUCGUCGAAACAAUCGAGUACGUCGUCAAAGCGUGGCGCAACCAAGACGAUGAAACAAGGAGAAACAUGCACCAUCGAGGUUGUCGACAGUGCAACCGGCAGGCCACUGGAGCCCCGCAAGAACGCCACCAAGUUUGUCAACCAAUGCGGAGCCAUUGUUAGAGACAACGUCUCGAUCACCGUCCAGGAGUGGAAUAAGCCAAAGAAGGCACGAAUUGCUGGUUUCACUUUUGUCGAUAAGAGAACAAAAAAAGAUUGCUUCAAGAAGCUUAUGGAACAUUUCGUUCUACCUCCGGAAUACAACAAAUUCGAUGAGGAGGGUAACAAGAUUGAGGAAAACAAGGAGAGGAGGAGGCUAGUCAAACAGUUCGCUCUUCAUAAGAUGGCCAACGCAUUCCGGAAAUUCAAGCAAAAUCUAGCCCAUGACUUUGUCAAGCAGAACAAGACUCCGGAUUUCAAAGGACAAUAUGAGAAACUGAAACAUGAUUGGCCAGAAUUUGUGAAGCAAAAGAAAUCGGAGCAGUUCAUUCAAAUAUCGAAAGAAAUAAGGAAAAUGCGGCUAAGAAGGAGUACAAUCAUAUUAUGGGGCCAGGAGGGUAUCGCCUUUGGGAGCCUAGGUGGGAGAAGAUGGAGAAUGAGCUGAGGGCGCGAGGAAUCGGUCCAGGUACGGAGGGAUGGGACCCAAGGGCCAAAAGCUGGUGGUACGGGCAUGGGGGAACGCUGAACCCGGAGACAGGGGAGUGUGUUUACCGGGGCAAAAUAAUUAAACCCACCCAAGCCCUUAUUGACGCAAUGAGGGAUGCUCAAGAGGGGAAGAUCAAGUUUAACAGAGAGAACGACGCGCUGACAAAAGCCCUCGGGAAUCCUGAACACGGAGGACGUGUACGAGGCAUGGGGCACAUUCCGUGGAAAAUAGGGUUCCCCCAGAACGAUGACCCGUACGGUUAUAGAAGCCGGAAGAGAAAGAUGGAUCGGGAAGCAGAUGUUGUGGCGCGGUUGGCAUCGGAAAUGGAUGUGAUGAAGAAAACCGUGAGUGUACUAGUAGCCGAAAGAGAUGCAGCUCGGGCGCAGCAUGAAGAUCAUCCAGCGGAUCUCAGAAGCCAGCGGCGGAGAAGCAGUGUGGCUUCCACGGAGGCCCCACCGGCUGGUGCAGAUGCACCGACGAUCGAAAUUACUGCACCGGAGCCUCUGGUGGCCGAAAUUACUGCACCGGAGCCUCUGGUGGUCGAAAUUACUGCACCGGAGCCUCCUCGCUACCCCGUGGACGAUAUAAAGGAGAUGAAAGAAUGUCAUCUGUAUUAUCCUAUCGGGAACAUGUCCAUGAAGGUAGCCAUCGGCAGUGCUUUACCAUGUUUACCUGGAGCACUCCACCACAACAACCCCAUUCAAGAUGGCUAUGCUCGUGUCACGGUGGAGGACAUAGUCCAAGGGUUUGAGGACCUGGAGAUUGACAUUGCUACACCUGAAGGGGAGAAAAGACUUGGAGAUGUCAAGCGCCAUUUCAUUCUAUGGCAAAAGAAGUUUAUCAAGUUUCUAGGCGAGGCGCCAAGGACAACAAGUCCACCCCCCUACGGUGGUGGCGGUUCACCUACACCUCCGUCACGUCAGCCGACACCCCCCAGUCCACAACGUCCGGCGGGUGAUCAGACGCCGCCCCCCAGUCCUCGUCCGGCGGGUGAUCAGACGCCGCCCCCCAAUCCACCUCCGGCAAAGAAGCAGAAGCAGUCCUGGAUUAUUAACCCGGACCCUUAUGUACCUAAGACCACAAAGGUACCGGAGCCAUCACUGAAGCCUCUCCCCACAAGGCCUUGGGAACGUAGUGCCGAGGAAACUGCCGCGGCCGCGACUGCUGAUCAUGAGAAAUGGAAGGCGGACUGCAAGAAGAAAAGAGAGCCCGAGCCCAAGCCAGUAUUUUCUGAUGAGCAAAAGAAGUGGGCUAAGUCAUUUUUGAGCACACCGUCCCAAGCCGCGAAGAAUCUGCCUGACGACUAUGCACGUGAACUUCGUAGGCAGGCACUCAUGUUGAAGGAGAAGAAAGAGCGGGCGGAGAACCAGGAGAACAAAGCCUUGGAGGAGGCCGAGAAAACGGAAUUAGAAAGUAAAAAAAGCGGGAAACGAGUUGCCCAGCUCGGGGAACAAAGUAAACAAUCGAUUGCCCCGCUUAUAGUGAAAGCCGCCGGUCCGGAUGACCCCGAUAUCAUAGCAGCUGCGGCAGCACAUGGAUUGACUGUAACGAGUGCUAGAGAACAAGCGGCCAACUUAGGUAUUACUCUUCGUGAACUGUUAGGCCUUGAUGAGGCGCCAGUGAAGGAGGUAGUAAUUACAUAUGUGAAGAAUGGGCCUCUCGUCGAGCCUGCGCAGGAAGAGGAUCUACCUCCACAAAUGAAAGGUCUGCUGAAAUGGUACAAGGGUUACAUAAAAAAUAAAAACGCCAAAGAAUAUAUUUAUGCGGAAGUUAGAUAUGAGCAUCACUUCAAACAUUACUAUGUACAAAUUCAUCUGAGUGAAUUGUUCCAGCUUUUCAAUCUGCGCGAGCUCGACAAAUCUAUCAUCAGUUGCUACGUUCUGUAAGUGAUUUAUUUCUACCCCAUCUCGUUCAUAUUGCCUGCACUAUAUAUAUGUCCUAACUAUAUUGUUGUGUCCGCUAUUAUACAUGCAGAUUGAAGAUUAAGGAAUGCAGAGUAAGGAACAUCCAUGAUGUUGGGUUCAUUGACCCACACAUCGUUAAUGGAUAUGUGUUGGAGCAUCACCCCGCCGACAUGGAGGCAGACCUGUGGCAGUUUCUUACAAAGCAGGAACUCAAAAGUGAUAUUAUAUUUCCUUACCAUUUUGGGUGAGUGUUUCUGUCUUGAGCACAUUCUCUUUUGUUUACUCCAUGCAUGGUAUGUGGCCGGCUAAUCGAUGAGUUAUGCAUGACGUACUGUGCAUGUAUCGUGUCCGCAGGUUCCACUGGAUUCUGCUAGUAAUUAAAGUUGACACCUCAGAAUGUCUCGUGCACGACUCUCUGAAUAAGGAUCCAAAGCUUUGGGGCGACAUGAGAAGAAUGCUGCAGAAGUAAUUAUUUUCAUUCAUUUGCGCUCUAUAUCGAUCGGCCUAUUUCGUUCAUUUCCUAAUAUCAAGUAACUAAUAACUCUCUUGUUCAUUUAAUUUUCUUUGCCUCGUAGGGUUUGGAGACGGUUUGUAGAUACAAAGGUCGGUGAAUUCAAAAAAGAGCUAGAAUUCAAAAGGUCAAAGGCUAAGAAUGGUGAGGAUAUUCAGCCAGCGGGGACCAAUCUAUGUGCAUACUAUGUCUGUGAGAUGAUCCGGAGAUACACCUCUGAGCGGGUUCCGAGUGAUACCAAUGCUCAGAGGAAUAACCUCCGGAUGAUGCUUAGUCCAGAAGCUCGCUUCCGACCACUUCAAGAGGAACUAGCUGGAUGGUUCAGGAGGGAAAUCCUCCAUCCUAAAGGAGAACACCAUUACGAGGACGUAGAACUUUAUAUGCAUUAAAUUAUGUAUGGAAACUUGUUCAAAAUUGUAUAUGGUCAUCCGAUGAUAUUGAAUAUAUAUUGUAUAUUCCUCUUGAAUUCUUUUUGGUUCUAAUUUCAAAUUUGUUUGAAAUUUUACAUUCAUAUGCAUGUAUGUAGUACCGUAGAAUAUGUGAAACUCCUUCAAAAUUAAAAUAAAGCACAAAAGAAAUAAAACAAUACAAAUUAAACAGAAAACAGGUUUAGGGGGGGGGGGGCUAAAACCCUAAACCUGCGGCGGCCUUUAGUCGCGGUUGGCCAGAAGAACCGCGACUAAAGGUCCUCCGCCCCGACGGCCGCCUGGCGCCCACGUGGACGGGCCUUUAGUCGCGGUUCUUAAGCAACCGCGACUAAAGGUGGGGGCUUUAGUCGCGCCUAUUUGGUCGCGGUUGCGCAACCGCGACUAAUGGCAGUUGCGAACCGCGACCAAAGGCCCUUUUUCCACUAGUGGGCAGCAGUAAGUCUUCCUCAGACAACACCACCUUCCCCAACUGGUAUGUAGGUAUAUGGUUCAACAAGAUCCCAAAGGUCACUCCUGUAUGGAUUGCGAACAGAGAGAAACCAAUCAGUGACCCCAAGUUUAGACUACUCAAGCUCAGAAUCUCAAGGGAUGGCAAUCUUGUCGUCUUAAACCAAGCGAGUAAAUCCAUAAUCUGGUCCAGUCAAAUAAUAACAGCCAAAGGUAGAAGAACAGCUAGCAAAAAUACUACCAUCAUGGCGGCGCUCUCAGACGAUGGUAACCUUGUCAUAAGAGACGACUCGAACCCAUCCAUCGUGUGGUGGCAGAGCUUUGAUCACCCAACAAAUGUUUUCCUGCCCGGUGCAAGGAUUGGCCGGAACAAGGUUGCUGGCCAAAAAUAUAGUCUUGUUUCGAAGAAGAAUCUGAUAGAUCCAGCUCCAGGCCUAUACUGCAUGGAGCUAGACCCCACUGGUGAUCCGCAAUACUUUGUUAAGCUCUGUAAUUCAUCCAUGGUGUAUUUCUCCAUGGGGGAAUGGACCGGGUGCGGGUGGUACUUCAAUUUGGUACCGGAGAUGUCAGGCAGUCACUUUCUCCACACCAAAUUCAUCGACAAUGAUGAAGAGGAGUACUUCACUUAUGCCCCGAUGGAUCCAACAAUGAUAACAAUCUGCUUCCUUGAUGUCUCCGGUCUUACCAAGCAACUUCUUUGGCUUGAAAUCUUGCAAGAUUGGGAAACCAUACAUGUCCAACCAAGGGCUCCAUGUGAUGUUUUCGCCGUUUGUGGGCCUUCCACGGUCUGCAAUGACAACGCACUUACAUUGUGUAACUGCAUGAAUGGGUUCUCUGUGAAGUCACCAGAGGAUUGGGUGCUAGAUGAUAGAGGAGGUGGAUGCAUGAGAAAUACUCCACUAGAACGUUGCAACAGCAACAAAAGUAACACAACAGGAUUAACUGACCAGUUCUUUCCCAUACAUAGUGUUAGAUUACCAUAUUAUGCACAUAGCAUGGAAACAAUUGAGAGUGGACAAGAGUGCAUGCAGGUUUGUCUAAGAAAUUGCUCAUGCACUGCCUACUCCUAUGGCAAGAGUGGCUGUUCUAUCUGGCAUGGCCAACUUAUUAAUGUAAAGCAGUACAAUAAUGGCACAGUCAAUAGUGACAAAGAGAUUCUUUUCCUUCGUCUUGCUGCUGGAGAUGUGCAAAGUUGGGGAAACAACACGAAAGGAAAUAGAAGAAUGAUCAUAGGUCUCACUGUGUGUGCUUUCGGUUUGUUGGUGAUGCUAUUGAUGAUUUGGAGGGGGGAAAGGAAGUGGUGUUCUCAUCCCUUAAGCAACACUGAAGGUGGAUGUGGAGUUAUAGCAUUUAAGUAUGUUGAUUUGCAGCAGACAACUAAAAAUUUCUCAGAGAAGCUUGGUGUAGGUGGUUUUGGCUCUGUAUUUAAGGGAAUUCUGCGUGACUCGACUACCAUAGCGGUGAAGAUGCUUGAUGGUGCACGCCAAGGAGAAAAACAGUUCAGGGCUGAGGUUAGCACAAUUGGAAUGAUCCAACAUGUCAACUUAGUAAAACUGAUUGGUUUUUGCUGUGAAGGUGAUAGAAGGAUGCUUGUUUAUGAACACAUGGCAAAUCGUUCUCUUGAUGUCCAUAUAUUCCAAGCCAAUGGUUCUAUGCUAGAUUGGAGUACAAGGUUCCGAAUUGCCAUUGGUGUUGCUAAAGGAUUGUCCUCCUUGCAUGAGAGUUGUCAUGACUGCAUAAUACAUUGCGAUAUUAAGCCAGAAAACAUACUUCUCGAUGCGGCACUUGUUCCUAGAAUUGCAGAUUUGGGAUGGCAAAACUUAUGGGAAGGAACUUUAGUCGAGUUCUGACUACCAUGAGAGGAACCAUAGGAUACCUUGCGCCUGAAUGGAUUAGUGGAGUGGCUAUUACACAAAAGGUUGAUGUUUACAGCUAUGGAAUGGUACUGCUAGAAAUCAUGUCUGGAAGGAGGAACUCAUCACCUCAAGAAUGUACAGGAAAUAUUGAUCAUGAUGUUCAUUUUCCUGUGCAAGCUGCAGUUAAGCUUCUUGAGGGAGAUGUGAGGACUUUGGUCGAUCAACAAUUAUAUGGUGACAUCAACGUGGAGGAGGUUGAAAGAGCUUGCAAAGCUGCAUGUUGGUGCAUUCAAGAUCAUGACUUUGAUCGUCCUACAAUGGGCGAUGUGGUUCAAGUUCUCGAGGGUCUAGUCAAGCUUGAUAUGCCCCCAGUGCCAAGAUUGCUUCAAGCUAUAUCAGGAAGCUCUUCAACAAAUUAAAUAUAAUCCAUGUAAGGAAAAGUUCAAAUUUCAGCAGGGUUCUAAUAACUGAGCUGAGAAGUUACCCUUCAUACACACUUUUCCAUAGUGAUUGAUACUACUAAAAACAUGUCUUGAAUUUUAGUCUCUAUUAUAUAUUGUACAAACUAGCAGGGCAGCUAGUGUAUCUGUGGUUCUAGUUUGUCAUGUAUCGCCAUUUGUAUCGACAUGUCAAAUGUUUGUUUCCCCCAUAAAUAUCAGUUGACUUAUUGUUAUACAAAAGUUUGUAGCCAAAACACAUUUCCGUGACGGGUAUUCUUCACUGCACCUUAAUUUCUUUAAAUAGUUGCUAUUUUCAUCCUUGCCCAACACAUGGUUUGUUUUUUCUGCCCCUGUUUUAUCCUUUGGAAACAUUGUAAAGCUGAAUCUGUGGUCUAUAUGCCGAGCUGUACCGAGGAUUCAUAUAGAGGAGAGGUACGUCCACAAAACAUGCGCAAUCCUUGCAGCACAGCUAAACAAAACUAUGAACCAGUAUAUAAUAUGAAAAUACAUUGUAUUUUAUCCAUCUAAUGAUAUAGUGAUUUGGUUUAGGUUUCCUAUAUAGUACUCCGUCCCAUAAUGUAAGACGCUUUUUCACACUAGUGUAGUGUCAAAAAACGUCUUACAUUAUGGGACGGAGUGAGUAUAAAUUUAGCCAAACUUUGCACCAUUUGACUACAGAUAAAAUCUUCGAGCCUUGUUUUGGAGACGGAAAGCUCUCGGUAGGUUGGGACCCAAACCUGUCAGACUCGUGAUUGAUUUGAGUUGAAUGCAUGACAGUAACCACCGACGUCCUCUUAAUUGCAUGUAUAAAUUUUGACCGACCAACCUAGCUACUUCACAUGGAGCAGCUGUCUGCAGCAGAGAUUAAAGGCGGUCAUCACUCAUCACACCAAGAUCAGAACUUGGGAAGCUGUGGGUAGGCUGGGCAUGGAUGCAUCCAUGGCGCCAACGGAGGGUGACGAGCAACCCCCGUUGCGCAUGCUCUUCUUCCGGUUCCUCCUCCCCGGCCACCUCAUCCCGAUGGCCGACAUGGCCGCGCUCUUCGCCGCCCGUGGCGUUAGGUGCACCAUCCUCACCACACCCUUGCAAGCUUCGACCAUCCGCUCCAUCGUCGACCGUGCCAACACUUCCCUGGGGUCAGUGGAUGUUGUCGUCGUUCCUUUCCCCGACGUCGGGCUUCCCCCCAGCGCCGAGAGCGGGACUGGCCUAACAUCCAAGGACUACAACGACAGGUUCCUUCGGACGGCGGAGCUGCUCCAGGAGCCCUUCCGCCGCUUCCUGUCCAGCCACCACGCCGAGAUCGACGCCGUCGUCUCCGACGGCCUCUUCCACUGGUCCGUGGAUGACGCCGCAGAGCAUGGAAUCCCACGCAUCACGUUCCUCGGCACCAGCAUGUUCGCCCGUUCCUGCACCGAAGCCAUGCUCCGCAGCAACCCGUUCGAGGUGUGCUCCGACGACCCAGCCACCGUUAUCUCUCUGCCGGGGCUGCCGCACCGGGUGGUGGAGCUGCGGGGGCAGAUGAUGGACCCUGUGAAGCGGCCACAUGAGUGGGCAUUGUUCCAGCUAAUCCACGCCGCGGACCGGCGGAGCUACGGAGAGCUCUUCAACAGCUUCCACGAGCUGGAGCCGGCCUACGCCGAGCACUACCGCGCCACCCUCCACCGCCGAGCUUGGCUUGUCGGCCCGGUUGCGCUCGCAAGCGGCAGCGGGAAGGACGUGACGUCAAGAGGUGCCGUUGCGGGCGCGCUCUCACCGGAGUCCAUCGGGUGCCUGCGGUGGCUCGACGAGAAGCCGGCCAGCUCAGUGUUGUACGUCUCCUUCGGCACUAUGACAAUCUUCUCGCCGGAGCAGAUGCGGGAGCUCGCCCGCGGCCUUGACCUCUCGGGCAAAAACUUCCUGUGGGUCAUCGCCAAUGGCAGUGCAUCAACAGAUCUGUGUAUGCCAGACGGGUUCCCGAUGGCGCACCGCGGGUACAUCGUCCGGGGCUGGGCGCCGCAGGUGCUCAUCUUGAACCACCCCGCCGUGGGUGGUUACAUGACGCACUGCGGGUGGAACUCCACGCUCGAGGCUGUGAGCGCCGGCGUGCCGAUGGUGACGUGGCCGCGGUACGCCGACCAGUUUCACAACGAGAAGCUCGUCGCGGAGGUGCUUGAGGUGGGCGUCGGCGUCGGUGCGGAGGACUACGCAACAUGGAUGGAGACCCACCGACUUAUCGGCAGCGAGGUGAUCGCCGAAUCCAUCAGGAAAGUGAUGAAAAAGGAGACGAUGUGGAAGAAGGCUGAGGAGCUCGGCGCCAAGGCGAGGGCCGCCGUGGAGAAGGGCGGGUCGUCCUACGAUGAUGUAGGGCAGCUCAUGGAAGAGUUGAUGGCCCGCCGGUGCUCUGGACGUACGGCUCGUGGACAAUUGUGAUCCGGCCUCCGCCGUGUGCUUCCCUUUUGCACUGUACCGUGUACCUUUGUCCACCACAUUUUAUUAGUAAUAAAAUAAAUAAAUUCAUUUCAUGUUCUUCUGAAACUGCUGGCUUCACUUUAUAGAUAAAUCAUUUUGUAUAGUUGGGCAGGAGCUUUGCUACACUUGUAAAUUAAGCUAAGAAACGGCGGCCGACGGCGACGGCGAGGACUCAUUCUACGUGCAGCGGGCGGCGGUGUAGAGGGAUGCGUAUGUGGCAGAUGUGCUGCGCGGUGGGCCGGCGUCGCCCGGGGUAUGAGCUGCACGGUAGCCUGUGAUCUUGUCAGGGUCUUCCCUCUGGAUCAAGUGGUCGAUCAGCGGCUUCAAGUCGCAGGCUCGCAGCUUCUCGUGCGGUGUCUCCUCCUCUGGCUGACGGUGUAGGGACUCCAGAUCGUGGCUGAAAGGCAUCUCAUUUGCAUGUAUCAAGCACGUACGAAGGUACUUGAUCCUGAAGUGCGGUGACUCCUUGCUACAAUUGGCGCCAUGGCUCGCGUACGGAUGCAUUGUCAUCUACGAUUACAUCUUACACGGGCAUGGUUACAAGACCUCGCGAUCCCAUGAAGGUUCGUGGCCGGCAACCAUGGAUCUGGUGGUGACCACCCGCGGCGCUAUGAUCCACGGCUUGGUGGUGGUGAUUCAGAUUCGGUCGACCGAGUGAGGAUGACUGCACACUGUGCUGCAGCGACCUUCUACGUCUCCACAACAGCGAUGGCCAUUCUUCGGUCCAUCUCAGGAUCCAGUGGUUGACUUCGGCAGUCGGAUGCAAAUUAUGAGCGACCACUUGACGCAAAGGAAUGGUUGUGCAGUGGCGGCGGUCACAUCGCAUGUAACUGCUUGGAUCGUGGAAAAGUGGCGGCGACAACACUUGCAUGACUUCGAUGGUGGUGCUACUCGAGCACCCGGUCGCGAGGUCCGGGGUGAAAGCCUAGGUCUGAACCGAACUGGUUAUGUCUGGCAAUGGCGAUUUUUUUACGUCGUUACCUUGUUGAAGGCAUGGUCUGGAUAUGCUCUGACUGAUUCUUCAAGGUGAAAACAUAGAUUCUGCCCUUGGUGGUUGAAUCCGGUAACGGCGACGCUUGAGUGUCGCUCUCUUCUUGAAGGCGUUGCUGUUGAUGAACCUCGUUGUCUGUGUGGUGUCAUUAGAUAAUUGGUGCGGAUAUGGUGUUUACUGUAGUUUGUCGAUCGUGGCUCUGAUCACUUUGGGUUUUUCUUUUUUCCUCGGCUACGUAUAGCUUUGGUCUUAUAUGACUUUGCUAUUUGCUGCUGUGUUUUUUGUGUGUGUGCGUUUGUGUUGGCUGUGUGCAUCUUAGCUAUGCAGAGGCUAGUUGUGUGCUCUUUUGGUUUGUAUCUUCUUGAUGCUUCUUUAUGAGCUAAUAAAAUCCACCCUUUAUUGAAAAAAAAAUUAAGCUAGGAAACGUAAUUACGUACGUGAUGAUGUGGUCUCAUUUGAUUGGAUAUUAGUACAAGGCAGGGGCCCACCCCUGAAAUUCAGGACGGCCAUUUAGUUACUUUGGGAAGGCUAUGUUCCGUUGAUUUUGGUCCGAAAAUCCUAGACACACGGACAAUCACGGGCGAAUAUUUCACACUAAUUAACCUUCGCCCCCUCUGAUUUGCAUGGGACGACCCCGUUUCCCCCUUAAUCUCCAAUUAAACCAUGCCAGCUAAUCAGGUUCCGUUGAUUCCGUAGUCAUCCGCCCGUGUGUGUAGCAUUGCCAUUUUUCGUCGAUGUAGCAUUUUUGGUGGGCAAUCUACCUCUCCUAACAGUGGGCCUCCUCUAAACUGGGAUCUAUACGUAUUCGACAAUCAAAAACAAUAAGAGUGGCGCAAAGGGCCAACGCUCGGGUUAGCCACGUCAUCGAGCCGCACUGUUCUGUCCAAUCUUCGUGCCGUGCCUGGCCAAUCCUGUCGUAGGAUCAGGCCUCCUAUCCAAGAAAUAUUUUUCCUUUGUUUUUCCCACACGCAACCUCCUCUCCCCACUCCUCAUCGAGGGUUGCUGCCGCCACGGCCGCCACCGCUGCCCCCAUCGCUGCUCCUGCUCUGGCCACCGAAGGAAGGCUGGCUUCUCGGGCGGAUCUUCUCCUCUUGGUGAUUUCCUUGUAGAAAGUUGCGGCGUGGCUCGAGGUCUCGUCCCGAGAAAGCCAGCCUUCCCACGGUCCCGCAUCAAGGCGGGCGACGCUGAUGGAGUCAUGUACCUAGGGUAGGGUCACAGACCUGAUCUAAGUACCCUGCCCAAGGACACCCUUAGAAGAGGUCACCUUCCAGUCGACCAACGAGGGACUCACUCGACUGACUUGAAGGACUCGACCACGAAGACUCACUCGACUACCAGGAGGUCAAAAGGCACUCUGCACUGCAACGGCCUGUAGUUAAGUAGACUUUAUGAUAGUUAAGACACUUUAUGUGGGACGUUACCAGUAACGCCCCGGACUAAAUACACCUUAAACCCUUCAUUACGUGGGCUGGCUGGGGUCCUGGCGCACUCUAUAUAAGCCACCCCCCUCCACAGGCAGAAGGGUUCGGCAUCCUGUAAUUCAUAUACACAUAAUCCACUCGACCGCCUCCGGGCUCCGAGACGUAGGGCUUUUACUUCCUCCGAGAAGGGCCUGAACUCGUACAUCUCUUGUGUUACAACCUCUCCAUAGCUAGGACCUUGCCUCUCCAUACCUACCCCCCACUCUACUGUCAGACUUAGAACCACAACAGUUGGCGCCCACCGUGGGGCAGGUGUUUUAGCGAUUUUGUGGAGAAGUUGCGGUUCUUCCGAGUACUUUUAUCAUGAUGACUGCUGGAGUUUUAGUUGAGGGUCGAGAGAUCCGUCUCGGUGCUCUCACCUUCGUCGCCGACGACUCCGCCUGGCUCCAGGAGGCUCCACUCGACGUCGAUGCGCUCCCCGUCCGCGGUGCGACGCAUUUUCGCGCAUGUGUCCGUGACGUUCUGCUGCGGCAACCGUCGACUCCGUAUCGGUCGACUCCCCCAUCGACCACCCUCCCGGUCUCCCGCCAGCGCAAGCGCUCGGGCCGGUCGAGGCUUCAGCGGUGGGUGAGGCACGCGGUGGCUCGCCAGACGGCCACCACCCAAGUUGCGGCAAUCGAGCCCGACGAAUCUCUCACGGCCUGUUUGAUCUGUCGACUGGCUCCGUAGAGACUGCAUCCGAGUGCGAUAGCAGUGAUCCAGCGGCGGAAAUCCUGAUGGUCGACGGGCUCCGCAGUCCCCCUGGCUUCGCCCGUGAUGGUGGGGCAGGCGACGGAGGCAACCCCGCACGAGACCACGAAGAGUACCAGCCCGAGCCACUCGAUUCUCUGCAAAGAGAGGAACUUUGCCGCAGGAACGUGGAUGUCCUGCGUACUCCCAUCGCAGGAGAAACCCUCGAGGCUCACGCCUUGGAGGAGGCUCGUUUAGCCAAUUUGGCCGAACGCACUCGACUGGAGAAUCUUCAGCGAGCACUCGACGAGCGCGCGCGGCAACGAGUUCCCGACACCAGUCGACGUCAACUCUUCCCGCCGACUUAGGUAUAUCGAACCCCAAUCCAGAAUUUAGCAGCUGCGACCCGUAUAGCAGAGUCCAUCCAGCCCUCUCAGUCGGAAGCUGGCAGAGGCUUGAUGCAGAUCAGGGAUUUGCUCCGGGCAGCAGGAGAUCAGAAUUCGGUCGUGUCGCAGUCGCGCAACAGAAUUCACAGUCGAUCUGUCGCUGCGAAUACGGUUCAGUCGGCUCACAGCCCCAGAUCGCCUCCGCGGCGUGAAGGGCGCGAGAAUCGGCGAGACCAAUAUGGUGACUGACUCGACCGAGAUGAUAGGCGUCGAGUGCCCAAUUCCCCUCUGAGGGGUGGGUCUUACGCUCCUCGGCAGCAAGAUGACAGACGUCAGCUCAGUGCGGGGCGAAGAGUUCCAGUCGACCCCAGAGAACCAGGCUUUGAUGCGCGAUGGGUUUCCCGCAGAGUUCUAUCAAUGUUUUUGGGACGUCAUUAAGGCAGACUUGGUUCAGUUGUUUAACCAACUGCAUACUGAAGACCUUGACAUUUCUCGCUUAAACUUUGGGGAAAUUAUCCUAUUGCCUAAGAUUAAGGAGGCUAGUCGUAUUCAACAAUAUCGUCCGAUUUGCCUUUUGAAUGUAAGUUUUAAAAUCUUUACGAAGGUCGCAACUAAUCGGUUGAACGGGGUGGCUGACCAUGUCGUAAAACCCACUCAAACAGCAUUUAUGCAAGGCCGCAACAUAUUAGAUGGAGUGGUCGUCUUGCAUGAAACUGUACAUGAGCUUCACCAAAAAAAGUUGAAUGGUGUCAUUCUUAAAAUAGAUUUUGAAAAAGCCUACGAUAAGGUUAAGUGGCCCUUUCUGUUGCAAACUUUGCGCAUGAAGGGGUUUUCACAAAAAUGGUGUUGUUGGGUAGAUAGCUUUGUCUCUGGAGGCAGUGUGGCCAUAAAAGUUAAUGAUGACGUUGGCAACUAUUUUGAAACAAGAAAGGGGCUUCGCCAAGGGGGCCCCGCUUCUCCUAUUUUGUUUAACAUUGUGGCCGACAUGCUAGCUACCCUUGUUGAGCGGGCUAAGCUGGACGGUCAAAUUAGUGGUGUCAUUCCACACUUGGUAGAAGAUGACCUAUCUAUUUUACAAUAUGUGGAUGACACUAUUCUAUUCAUGGAUCAUGAUCUAGAUACGAAAAGAAAUCUCAAGUUGCUCUUAUGUGCUUUUGAGGAACUUUCUGGUCUCAAAAUUAAUCUUCAUAAGAGCGAACUUUUUUGCUUUGGCGAUGCUGCAGAAUCAGCACCUGAGUACGCUGAGAUUUUUGGAUGCCAGCUCGGGCAGUUUCCGAUUCGAUAUCUGGGUAUUCCCAUACACUAUCGGCGCUUAAAUAUCGCUGAGUGCAAGUAUGUGGAAGAGAGACUUGAGAAACUCUUAGCCAGUUGGAAGGCCAAGCUCUUGUCUUACAGGGACGAUUGAUCUUGAUCAAUUCAGUUCUAAGCAACAUGGUUUUAUAUAUGUUGUCAUUCUUCCACCUACCGAAGGGGGUUCUCCAGCGACUAGACUACUUUAGAUCUAGAUAUUUUUUGGCAAUGCGAUAACGAAUCCAAGAAAUAUCGACUGGCUAGGUGGAGCGUGUUAUGCAGACCUAAAAGUCAAGGGGGGCUAGGAAUCCAAGACCUUGAGAUUAAAAACAUUGCUCUUCUCAGCAAGUGGGUUUACAAACUACUCACUGAGAAUAGAGUAUGGCAGGAAAUCAUUCGCAACAAGUAUGUGGGAUCCAAUGCCAUUUCUCAAGUUCAUUGGAAACCUGGGGAUUCGCAUUUCUGGAGUGGUGUGAUGAAGGCCAAGGAAUUCUUUCUCCAAUUUGGGACCUUCUCAGUUAGGGACGGUUCUCAGGUUCGAUUCUGGGAAGAUACCUGGCUAGGGAAUAACCCACUAAUGGUGCAAUAUCCGAGCUUGUAUAGGAUUGUUAGGCAUAAAUUCGUCACAAUCAAACAAGUAUUAGGACAAGAAAAUCCUGAUAUUUCUUUCCGCAGGGACCUUUUUGGCCCUCGCCUGACAGCAUGGAAUGAAUUACUCACUCGCUUGGAGGACAUUCAACUGUCAGGUGAGCCGGACAUUUUUCGAUGGAACUUGCAUCAGAAUGGCAAAUUUUCUGUCAAAUCCAUGUAUGAUGCAAUGGUUCAUUGUGAUGUUCCAGUUGAUAACAGGAAAUUGUGGAAGCUCAAAAUCCCUCUAAGAGUGAAGAUUUUCCUCUGGUUUCUUAACAGAGGAGUCAUCCUAACUAGAGACAAUCUGGCACGACGAAGCUGGCAUGGUUCCGAGACAUGUGUCUUUUGCCAACAUGACGAGUCUAUUAAACACUUAUUUUUGGAGUGCAAGUUCGCUCGGGCAGUUUGGACCAUAGUUCAAGUAGCUUCGAAUAUAUACCCAUCACGUAGUGCACGGAACAUGUUCGGCAACUGGUUGCGGGGUAUUGAUAAACAAUUUUAUGCACAUAUUCUUGUGGGAGCGGCGGCCUUAUGCUGGGCACUGUGGCUUACCAGGAACGAUGUGAUUUUUAAUAACAAAUGUGUCUCAUCUCCUAUGUAGGCUAUUCAUGUGUGUACACGAUAGCUCUGUACUUGGUCUAUCCUGCUGAGGCCGGAGAACAGAGAACUUUUUAUGAUGGCGUCUACACGGCUGGAGCGUACGGUCAGGGAGGUUUUCUACCCCCAUGGAUGGCGGUGUGACCUACGGAUAGGAUCUGCCACUCCUUUGGCUGGACAUGUUUUUUUGAUUGGCGUUGUAUCGAAUUAUUUUUUGCUUUUAGGGUACUCUGAACUUUUUUGGCUGUGUGCAUUUAGCUAUGCAGAGGCCGGGCUUUCUUUCGAUGCGAUCGUAUCACCUCGAUAUAUCUAUUCAAUGAAAUGUCCUUUGUCGAAAAAAAGUAAGCUUAGCACCAACAAGUUAGACACCUAUGCUUUGGGGAGUUGAGUUGCUAAGCUAUUUAGUAUCUUAUAUCUAAACACCUUUGCAUUGACUGGUUCAUCAUGUCCAUGGCGACUGGUCAGCUGCCGACCUUGGUCUCCGGUCCAACUACGUGCUGGACUGUUGUACUGUGGCAUUUAUAGCGUAGUGUAGACGGGGUUACUGCAUCGAAGACAAGUCGUGCAAGAAAACAGAAAUUACAACUACAUACGGGAGCUGACGAAUCCAACGUGUGCAUUUUCGGCCUACCAAUAGACAUGUAACCCUCCCAAUAGUCUACUCUCUACCGUGUGCCGCAGUCCCUUGUUCUCUCUCGUGCUUCAAUGAGACGAGAGGCACAACCCCUCAUACGUUGGUGUUCCUCCUGCUUCACUAGAAACACGGGAUUAAACUUGCACACAUGACCCUCGACCAAAAUGCUACUGUAGGGCAACACACACAUACUUAAUUAGUUAUAAUCUUGGACCGAUAUUACUCGGGGCUCUUGUCCAUAGUCACUGUGAGUUGGUAAGCAGAAACCACAUGACUUUGCUAGUUUUUUUUUUUUUUUGAAGCGACCAGCGUGAGCUCUGCUUUUUUCAUCAAGAAGAACAUUGACCGAUUAAUAAGAAAAUUGGCCGAAAAUCGAAUGACUUGGCUAGUUUAGAAUUCCAUGUCUUCUUCAAGCAAGAUGUUUAUACGGAAUCAACUACCUCCAAAUUCCGUCACGUCCAUGGCAUGCCAACCGCGGAAUUCCAUGCACAUGCUUGGCAUUUGAUUUUUCAACCAUUUCGCCGUGUGUAGUCCCUGACCAAUCNNNNNNNNNNNNNNNNNNNNNNNNNNNNNNNNNNNNNNNNNNNNNNNNNNNNNNNNNNNNNNNNNNNNNNNNNNNNNNNNNNNNNNNNNNNNNNNNNNNNNNNNNNNNNNNNNNNNNNNNNNNNNNNNNNNNNNNNNNNNNNNNNNNNNNNNNNNNNNNNNNNNNNNNNNNNNNNNNNNNNNNNNNNNNNNNNNNNNNNNNNNNNNNNNNNNNNNNNNNNNNNNNNNNNNNNNNNNNNNNNNNNNNNNNNNNNNNNNNNNNNNNNNNNNNNNNNNNNNNNNNNNNNNNNNNNNNNNNNNNNNNNNNNNNNNNNNNNNNNNNNNNNNNNNNNNNNNNNNNNNNNNNNNNNNNNNNNNNNNNNNNNNNNNNNNNNNNNNNNNNNNNNNNNNCACACACAAAUACAAAUACAAAUAUGUUGUAACAAAAAAUAAAAUGGAAAUACCUCAAAAUAAAUAGAAAUGAUCUAGUAGCCAUGAAGAAAUCAUCCUUUCAUCAAGCGAAGGCAAUCUUUUCUCUACUUUCUUUCUAUCUCUCACAACUCAACAAAACUCCCACGUGACACCAGUAAGAGAGCGUACGAGAUUGAAAACUACCAGGUAAUUAGUUCACAAGAUAUUUAAAACCUCAAACCACGUGGAGAAUCCACUAUUCAGGUACAUGAGCUAUAGAAACAUUUGUCGCGAAUGAAUAUAUAGUCAGUAGUUUGCACCACAUCAAGGUUAAUUGCAUUUUUCUUCCUUUGUGCAACUGGUCAAUUGUUUUUUUAGGACCAAGACCAGACCAUUAGUUCGGUUUAGUUUUGAAACGGCACUUUGUAGUAGUCAACAAUAUGGUGCAUCAACGACUAUUAAAUGAGACCGGACAAGUAUUCUAUAGACCUCAUGCAAGUCAAGAAACCUCGGUGCAUCUAUAAAACGCCUGUCCUGCCCGACUAGUAGUUCUUCUCAUGCAUCCACCUCCAAACGGUUCAUCCUAUUUCCAAUUUUUUUCAGCUUCAGUGCAGGUCUUGUCUCUGGUUAAUUGUUGUAGGAUUAUAGCUACGCCUGGUUCAAGCACAAACAAUUAGUACGUACAUAAUCUCUCUCUCUCUCUCUCUCUCUCUCUCUCUCUCUCUCUCUCCAUAUGUUUUUGCUCUAUAUUGUGUAAUUGACAACCUUUAUCCUCAGCAAGAUCUGCAUAAAGUUGAGCGCUGCAUACGCAUAUGGACAUGGAGAGGGUCACAAUACACACGGCAGCAUGUUUCACCAUAGCAUUCGUGGUUCUCACCACGAUCAUCUCCAAGAUCAUUGCAAGAAUCAGAACCGUUCAUCUUGUGCGCAAAGGAGAAAGAUCACCAAUUACUCUGCGCCCACCACAUGUUGUGAGUGGAGCUCCUCUAAUGGCAGCCCUGCUCACACUUGUGACGCCCAAGAAGGGUUUACAUGCUGCAAUCCAUGAACUACACAUGAAGAUGGGAAGUGUGUUCACAGUGAACCUUUUUGGGCUAAAGAAGGUGACCUUAAUUAACAUUAUUUUGCAGAUGGCACGAAUCUUAAAUUUAAGAGUAUUCUUUGACUUACAAUCUCACGUACAUGUCAUCAAUUUUUGAAGGUUACAUUUUUGGUUGGGCCAGAGGUCACUCCUCAUUUCUUCAAGGGAUCGCCAUCCGAUAUCGACUUCGGGGAUACAGCUAAGAUCAUUGUGCCCGUCCUCGGUCCAGGAGUUCUGUUUGGUGUGGACAUGGCUACCAGGAAUGAGCAGAUCCGAUUUUGUACCAAGGCGAUACAGCCGGCGAGGUUGCGAAGAGAUGUUCAUUCCAUGGUUUGCGAAGUGGAGGUAUUUUUUCUUUUAUUAUAUAAUAAAGAUAUAUCUUUCCCGGCCUCUGCCUCAGGGGAUGUACGCAACCUGAUUAGGAACGCAAGUUCCUCUAUUUUGAUUGAUAUGCAGCACUUAAUUACUCCACCUUAUGAUUAUUAUUUUUUGAUUAUAAAUCUUUUUUUUUAGAAUCCUUGAUAUGGAAAUUUUUGUAUGUAGGACUACUUUGCAAAAUGGGGACAAAGUGGCACGGUUGAUUUAAAGCAUGAGCUUGGCCACCUAAUCGUGUUGAUCGCAAACAGAUGCUUGCUUGGCAAUGAGAUCAAAGUCAACAACUUGGAAGAAGUGUCAAAACUCCUCCAUGAACUAUUUGAAAACAGCUUCCACAUGAUCAACUUAUUCUUCCCGCACCUCCCAAUUCCGCCGCACCGCCGACGCGACGAAGCGCGUGCAAGGCUGGGAGAAAUACUCCACGAGAUAGUGAGAUCACGUAGAAGAAUUAGCCCAGCCCGAGUUAUGGACAACAAUGAUGACAACGAAGGCGAUGUGUUGCAGAGCUUCAUAGACUCAAAAUACAGUGACGGCCGAUCCAUGACAGAGAGUGAGAUCGUCGGGCUACUCAUUGCCAUCUUGUUCGCCGGGCAGCAUACGAGCUCAAGUAGCAGCACCUGGACAGGAGCUUGCCUGCUAAGCAAUCAAAAGUACAUGACAGCUGCCAUGGAAGAGCAACAGAAAAUCAUUGAGCAAAAUGGAGAACCCAUUGACUACACCAUCUUGUCAAAGAUGGAUACCUUGCGUUUCUGUAUCAAAGAGGCACUGAGGCUUUAUUCUCCGACGCCAUUAUUACUUCGUCAUGCACACAAGAGCUUCGCUGUGCAAACCAGAGAUGGCAUGGAAUAUGAGAUCCCAGAAGGGCAUGCUUUGGCGUGCUCCAUAGCAGUAAGCAACAAGUUGCCUUACAUAUUUAAGAACCCUAAUGUGUAUGAUCCAUGCCGGUUUGGCCCAGGAAGAGAGGAGGACAAAACUGGCGGCAAGUUUUCAGACAUAUCGUUUGGUGCUGGGAGGUAUUCUUGCUUGGGACAGGAUUAUGCUUUCAUGCAAAUCAAGGUGAUAUGGAGCUAUUUGCUGAGGAACUUCGAGCUUGAGUUGAUCUCUCCUUUCCCCGAAUUAGAGAAUGAUAAAAUAUUACCAGGACCUAGAGGAAAUGUGAUGGUUACCUACAGGAGAAUGUCAAUAGUUACUUAGCACGAUGCAUGUAAAGUAAUUAAGUGUAAGCUAAUUAUGUGUUGGUGCGUGGUUUUUAUACGUGGUAAAUUAAUAUGCUAAAUAAAUGCUAAUAAAAGGAGGACAAAUAGAGUUGUGCGCAUGUGUAUGUGAGCUAAAUCAUGCACCAAAAAUAAAGAACUUGUUG